Molecule: unclassified non-coding RNA, 362 nt
Filed under: fungal sp.
Lineage: Eukaryota; Fungi
Description: partial internal transcribed spacer region
Rfam family: Eukaryotic small subunit ribosomal RNA (bases 1-46)
Source: RNAcentral
AAGUCGUAACAAGGUUUCCGUAGGUGAACCUGCGGAAGGAUCAUUAUCACGUAAUUAUCCACGUUAUAAACCAAUAUGUGAACUGUAAAAAAACCUCUGAGUUUUUGAUCGCUUACUGUGUAAUCUAUGAGUGCUAUUUUUUUUUGUAUGGUUAAAGCACUCACACGGUGAAUUUAAGAUCAUUUUCUUCAGUUGUAAUUAACUCAUACAUUUUAUUAUUUUUUAACCACUUGAACUAAAAUUUAUUAUUCUUUUGUUUGAACUGAUUUGUUUCUUACUCACAGAAAAGAAAUUUUUUAUGAGAAGAAAUCGAAUACGAAACAAAAAAAAAACAACUCUUAGCAACGGAUAUCUUGGUUCUC